CCGCCCCAAACACCCUUGCACGCACUCGACCAGCACGCACGCACCGCUCACGGACUCCCCCGCUCGGCUCCUCACGCACGCACGCACACGCUGCGCCGCCGAGCUCCACACGCAUGCCCGCCCCGCCGCCGCAGCAGCUCUGCACCCAUGCCGUCCACAGCAGCAGCUCCGCACCCAUGCCGUCCGCAGCAGCAGGUCCGCACCCAUGACGUCCGCCGCAACCAGGUCGGCAACCUCUAGAUCCGCGCCCCUGCCAGCCGCCGCCACUUAUUCGGCGCCCUCCGUCUCCAGCCCGCGACGGUCGCGCCCCCUCCCCAGCCCGCCGACGGCCGCGCCCUCCUCUCCCCAUGGGGAUUUGGAUUGACGGCGGUGGGAUCUCGGGAUCUCGAUCCCGGCACAAAGAACUUCGAUUUAGGUAAUGGGGAUUUGGAUUUACAGCAGUAGGAUCUCGGGAUCUCGAUUCCGGCAUGAAAAACCUCGAUUUAGGUAAUGGCGAUUUGAAUUGGGGCACUAAGAAACUGGGGUUUGGCUGAUGGGAUCUUGCCAUUGGGGAACUCGGAUGAUGUUCAAUCCGGUGUUUAUAGUCGGUGUGGAUUAGGCCUCGUGCGUGUAUGGUGUAGGAGGAGGGCGUCUCGUCAUGUGAUUUUAUUUACUACUUGUUUAGUAUAUAUUAUGUUUCACAUAUUUAGAGAUUGGAAUCAUAAAGUUAGUUCUUUCAUGAUUACAGUUCCCUCUAGUUCGUGUAACUAAUCUGUCAAUUAGUCAAUUAGCCUAGUUCCUAAUUACACACUCUUUUUUAUGUUUUAUGUCAGGCCCUUGAGCAGGUUACUCUGUUGCUCUGAAUUUUAGUUGUGUAUUCUGGUGCCGCGCUCCCCAUGGAGUGUGUGCUUAUUUUUUUUAUUUUACCUUCUUAAUAAAUGUACCAGAUUUGAACUUUAAAUUUUAUUAAAUGAAUUAAUAGUAUUAAAAUUUAAUUUAUGGCAAGGUUUACUACACUUAGUAUGUUGGAGCUUUUUAGAGCACGUUGGAGUUAGUCCUUACAUUUAAAAUGAAAAGCUGAACUUAGAGAUUAUCCAUUGAUGAUAUAUGAGGAUUUUGAAGUUGAACUAAGUUCUCAUGAUUAAUAUUCACAGCAAAAGCAUAAUCAGAAGUUGAAACAGUUCCUCAAAAUUUCAUUACAAGGAUAUUAUAUCGAGAUUUCUAGUCAACGCUCAAGGAUACGAUUGCAACACACGUGCCCAUGAAGAGUAGCGGCAAGGCAGGAAUCAUAAAUUAUCUAACCUGAAAUUUAUCACUUCCAUAGACAUUGUUUUAAUUUUAUAUGAAUUUUAUAAUUUAACAGCUGUUUUUGUCAUUUUCAGAAAAACAGAAAAGCUAAUAGACAUACUUGCAAUAAGCUUGGUUGUUUGGUGCAGAUUUCGUAUAGUAAGAGAUUGGUUAAGAGAAGAUGAGAUCAACAGGUGCGUUACCAUAGCAAGUGUUCAAUUACAAGAAGAUAAAAAUCUUGUAUUUUAAUUCUAAAAAUAAUGCCUGCACUGCUUCGACACGCCGGGAUCACAAGCUGGGGCGUCCCAAUCCUCGCCGGCAUCGCACACUGGACCGUCACCGUGAGCCAUCUUCGGAGUCGUUUUUAUGUAUUGAACUUGUGAACUUCGAAUAAUGUGUACUUUUGAAUGUGUGGUUUGUAAUAUAUUGUGAAUUUCGUACAAAUUUGGUCGUUUGUGAUAUAUAAAUAUAUAUAAAUAUGGUUUGUGAUA
Molecule: long non-coding RNA, 1757 nt
Organism: Sorghum bicolor (sorghum)
Lineage: Eukaryota; Viridiplantae; Streptophyta; Magnoliopsida; Poales; Poaceae
Exons: 2
Source: RefSeq, a predicted model, not a curated record